AGAGUUUGAUCCUGGCUCAGGAUGAACGCUAGCUACAGGCUUAACACAUGCAAGUCGAGGGGCAUCAGUUUGGUUUGCUUGCAAACCAAAGCUGGCGACCGGCGCACGGGUGAGUAACACGUAUCCAACCUGCCUCAUACUCGGGGAUAGCCUUUCGAAAGAAAGAUUAAUAUCCGAUAGCAUAUAUUUCCCGCAUGGGUUUUAUAUUAAAGAAAUUCGGUAUGAGAUGGGGAUGCGUUCCAUUAGUUUGUUGGGGGGGUAACGGCCCACCAAGACUACGAUGGAUAGGGGUUCUGAGAGGAAGGUCCCCCACAUUGGAACUGAGACACGGUCCAAACUCCUACGGGAGGCAGCAGUGAGGAAUAUUGGUCAAUGGACGCGGGUCUGAACCAGCCAAGUAGCGUGAAGGAUGACUGCCCUAUGGGUUGUAAACUUCUUUUAUAUGGGAAUAAAGUUGUCCACGUGUGGAUUUUUGUAUGUACCAUAUGAAUAAGGAUCGGCUAACUCCGUGCCAGCAGCCGCGGUAAUACGGAGGAUCCGAGCGUUAUCCGGAUUUAUUGGGUUUAAAGGGAGCGUAGGCGGAUUGUUAAGUCAGUUGUGAAAGUUUGCGGCUCAACCGUAAAAUUGCAGUUGAUACUGGCAGUCUUGAGCGCAGUAGAGGUGGGCGGAAUUCGUGGUGUAGCGGUGAAAUGCUUAGAUAUCACGAAGAACUCCGAUUGCGAAGGCAGCUCACUGGAGUGUAACUGACGCUGAUGCUCGAAAGUGUGGGUAUCAAACAGGAUUAGAUACCCUGGUAGUCCACGCCGUAAACGAUGACUGCUAGGUGUCGGGUGGCAAAGCCAUUCGGUGCCGCAGCUAACGCAAUAAGCAGUCCACCUGGGGAGUACGUUCGCAAGAAUGAAACUCAAAGGAAUUGACGGGGACCCGCACAAGCGGUGGAGCAUGUGGUUUAAUUCGAAGCAACGCGAAGAACCUUACCUGAUCUUGACAUCCCGAUGACCGCUUCGUAAUGGAAGCUUUUCUUCGGAACAUCGGUGACAGGUGGUGCAUGGUUGUCGUCAGCUCGUGUCGUGAGAUGUUGGGUUAAGUCCCGCAACGAGCGCAACCCCUAUCUUCAGUAGCCAGCAGGUUAAGCUGGGCACUCUGGAGAGACUGCCAGGGAUAACCUGGAGGAAGGUGGGGAUGACGUCAAAUCAUCAUGCCCCUUAUGACCAGGGCUACACACGUGCUACAAUGGCGUAAACAAAGAGAAGCGAACUCGCGAGGGUAAGCAAAUCUCAAAAAUAACGUCUCAGUUCGGAUUGUAGUCUGCAACUCGACUAUAUGAAGCUGGAAUCGCUAGUAAUCGCAGAUCAGAAUGCUGCGGUGAAUACGUUCCCGGGUCUUGUACACACCGCCCGUCACACCAUGGGAGUCAGUAACGCCCGAAGUCAGUGACCCAACCGUAAGGAGGGAGCUGCCGAAGGUGGGACCGAUAACUGGGGUGAAGUCGUAACAAGGUA
Molecule: ribosomal RNA, 1502 nt
Filed under: metagenome
Description: bacterial SSU rRNA
Rfam family: Bacterial small subunit ribosomal RNA
Source: RNAcentral